AGGGAAUCUUCCACAAUGGACGCAAGUCUGAUGGAGCAACGCCGCGUGAGUGAAGAAGGUUUUCGGACCGUAAAGCUCUGUUGUUGGUGAAGAAGGAUAGAGGUAUACUAGUGCCUUUAUUUGACGGUAAUCGACCAGAAAGUCACGGCUAACUACGUGCCAGCAGCCGCGGUAAUACGUAGGUGGCAAGCGUUGUCCGGAUUUAUUGGGGC
This 212-nucleotide ribosomal RNA is filed under the name uncultured bacterium. RNAcentral's name for it is "partial 16S ribosomal RNA". It matches the Rfam family "Bacterial small subunit ribosomal RNA", at positions 356 to 560 of the family's 1533-position model. The record is from RNAcentral.